GUCGAGAAUCUUUCACAAUGGGGGCAACCCUGAUGGAGCGACGCCGCGUGGAGGAUAAGGUCUUCGGAUUGUAAACUCCUGUCAUGCGUGAACAAGGUUGCUUGGUUAAUACCUGGGCAAAUUGAUGGUAACGCAAGAGGAAGAGACGGCUAACUCUGUGCCAGCAGCCGCGGUAAUACAGAGGUCUCAAGCGUUGUUCGGAAUCACUGGGCGUAAAGGGUGCGUAGGUGGCGUGGUAAGUCAGAUGUGAAAGCCCGGGGCUCAACCUCGGAACUGCAUCAGAUACUGCCAUGCUAGAGUACUGGAGAGGUGACUAGAAUUCUCGGUGUAGCAGUGAAAUGCGUAGAUAUCGAGAGGAAUACCAAAGGCGUAGGCAGGUCACUGGACAGUUACUGACACUGAGGCACGAAGGCCAGGGGAGCGAACGGGAUUAGAAACCCCGGUAGUCC
Molecule: ribosomal RNA, 449 nt
Filed under: uncultured bacterium
Lineage: Bacteria
Description: partial 16S ribosomal RNA
Rfam family: Bacterial small subunit ribosomal RNA
Source: RNAcentral